GCCGGGUCACGAUGCCGACGGGCCGGAGCCGCCGCUUGCCUGCGCUUCACCAGCCGCCAAGCCGAGAAGCUCCAGCUGGGCCUCCGUGCUCGGAGGCGUUUUCGCCAUCGGGAUGUAUGCAACCGCCUAGCUUCUGGGCACCCUCAAUGCAUUUCUUCUCUCCGCCGAUGUUUCUCCUUAUGCUUCUUCUCGGGGCACGUGGCCGAAUGCAGGCUGCGUCUAGGAUGAUGCCUUGGACGCUGCGUUCACACAUGAGGCCCGCCCCGCCAGUACACAUCGGCCGACGCCCUGGAUCGCUUCUGUUUCAUCUGUUGCGGCACUUCAUGAUGUCGUACCCGAAAUGUGCAGCUUAGAAGCCACUAGCAGUUGUUUGCAUAGACGCUUCGCUAUCCACAAUGGACUUGAUCACUGUAGUUUUAAUAGAUUUUAAUAAAUCGCUUACAGAGUAAA
This is a long non-coding RNA of Schistocerca serialis cubense, 450 nucleotides long. RefSeq lists it as uncharacterized. The transcript is spliced from 2 exons. Lineage: Eukaryota; Metazoa; Arthropoda; Insecta; Orthoptera; Acrididae. The record is from RefSeq and is a predicted model, not a curated record.